Molecule: non-coding RNA, 23276 nt
Organism: Podarcis lilfordi (Lilford's wall lizard)
Lineage: Eukaryota; Metazoa; Chordata; Lepidosauria; Squamata; Lacertidae
Source: the annotation of a GenBank genome assembly
GCAGACUGAGCACGUGGUGUUCUUCUACUUCUUUGGAUCAUGGCCAUAACAAUUUCAGCUAAAUUAAAUAAGCUACUAUAGGUAAGCUAACAUUUCAGAUGUUUUCAUUCAUUGCUUUGUGGAAUCUGUUAGGCCACUGCCUUUCUUUGAUGUUCCCACCCAAUUCUCACCCGAUCUUCUUUGGAAAGCAUUUGAUGAGUAGGGUAUUUUGAGAAGUAAUUAAUUUCACUUGGCAAAUGUGCGGUAGAUGCAUUCUUUGAGAUCACACAGUUGUAGUGCCCUAUUGUAUAAUCAUGCCAGAGAUAUUUCUUUGUGAAGGUUUAUUUUUCCUUUCUGGCUGAGCUGCUGCUAAUAUCCUGGCUUUUUCAUUUGUAUUGAUUUUGCUGUAAGUGCUGUGUAGCAUAUAUUCUGCCUUUUAGGCAGACAGAAGCUGUUGGGUUGCAUUCUACUCCCAAGCACACUGGCGUGGUUGAGAACAAAUGUUGGUCCUAAAUUAUUAUUCAGCUUUAUAUUAUCAGAAGCUUUUGAAUAGGCUAGUCAGGCAGAAUUUCAACCUUGCAACGGCUCGUAACUCAAGCAUAAGCAAGUAUGAAGGAGAUUACAACAUUUCAUACUUUGUCACUGCUGGGGACAUAAGCGUUACCCAUUGUUGUGGCAAGAUGAGUGGUAAAGACAUUCUUUACAAUAAAAUAACUAAGGGCUGCAUCCAACUAAGCGAUGCCAUGUCCUUUAACAUCAGUGAGCCUACUCUGGGUAGAACUAGCACAGGACAUAGCCAUGCGUGUUUAUUGUGCUAAGCCUGCUACUGAAUCUGGAAUCUUGAAGAAAGCAACUUUCUGGCUCAUAGGGCUGCAGAAAGUAUUGAUGAAUGGGCAGUCUGCCAAAGGAUCAGUUGGGAAAAGGCCAUUAGUGAAUGGCACAACACCUUGCCUCACAUCAUUUUCCUGCUCAUUGAGCACCCGACUUUGGGAAGCCCUGAAAAGCAUACAACCACCACACCGGAGGCAGACUGUGGUCUUUCAAAUUUCAGUGGCAUCCUGUGCAAGGCCAAAAUUUGGCAUGUGCCCUCACACCUUCUUUUCUGCUCAAUUCACUAUGUCUUGGUUGUGAUGCCCUGUGGCAACCCCUAGGCUCAGCACCCAGGGCAGCGGAACCAGUCACACUUCCCUAAAUCCGCCUCUGACAGCACAACGCAAAAUAAUUCAUUCUAUGUCAGUCUGCUAGCUGAACUGUCCCCUUGACACAUACAUAACAAUACUUAAUAUUUGCACAGUGCUUUCAAGUGUUCAGAGCGCUUUGCAUGUAUCAUCAAGUCACUGUCCUUACCUAACCCUAUUAAGCCUCCUGAGGGAAGUCAGCAGAUAGAACUCCCAUACUAUAGAUGAAAUGUGUAAGACAGCGAGUAGCUGGCCUAAAGCCAACUACUGUGUUCGUGACGAAGGCACCAUUCUGAUCUGACUUUCUGAUUUGCAACUGAGUCUCUCAGCCACUACACAAGUGAAGAUUUCUUACUCACAUCAGAAUGCAUAGCGUGCAGUUUGGAUCCCAGUUUUUAUCAUCCUGGGUUGCUUGGGAAUGUUUUAUGUAUGUUUAAGGGUCAUGCAACAGUGUAACUGUACCUAAAGUACAGACAAGUAUUUAAGGGUGUGAAAAUACAUACCUCCAUGAGAAACAGAUAGGUACAUCUUACUAUGGGAGCUGCAAACAGAGAGCUGACAGGCUAACAUCCAUGAGAAGGGACUCAGAAGCAGGUGCCAGGCUAACUAAAGAAACUUAAAUUCACUCUCUCAUUUGUAUCUCUGGGGAAGUAGCAACAGAAGGAUAUUAAUAAACACUUCAGACACCAAGGAAUACUAUGCUGUUUAUGCUCUUCUUUUAUUAAAGAGAAAGACCCAUUUAUCCAUUAACACAGCAACUUCGUUUUUAUUUUUAAAAAGUGUAACUCAUUUGUAAAAAAGAGUAAACCUGUUUUGGGAUCAGCAGGACAAGAGUUGUUAGCUAACCAGCAUAAUAUACAGCUGUCUCCAGGUAUAUGGAUUCCUCAUUAUGGAGGGGAAUCAGUGGCUGCAUCCAGACUUAAUGCUGAACCAUAGUUUAGCAUAUGGGAAUGAGUCUGGUGAGACUCAGGCACAUGCACUUCUACUAAACCACAGCUGAUUGUAACUAACCAUGGUUACUUGUUUAAUCUGAGCUGAGAAUUAUGGCUAGUGUUAACUACAGUUUAGAGUGGGGAAACUAUGGAAAUCUGGAUAUUGUUUGACUCCAACUUCCACCAGCCCCACCCUGGCCAAGGAUGAGAAAAUGGGGAGCUGUAGUUCAGAAACAUCUGGAGACCCACAUGUUCCCCAAUCCAUGUGUGCUGAAGUUGGGUUUCCUUAUAUCACAGAUAGCAUUAACCAGUUUGAUUUGGACAUAACAAGUAGUUGAAAAUGGAAGCAAAACCUCCCCAUCUCCUCUGUGUGGCUGUGCUGGGGGAGGAGAGGGAAGGAGGGAGUCCAUGAGCCAGAAUCAAUGGACCCAUUAAAUUAUGGUCUGUCCCGAUUCUACAUGGGAACAGGACUUAAGUCUGUCCCGUCCUGUUUCUGUGCAGAUUUUUAAGUGGGGAAAUAUUCUAAGUAGAAUUGUAUGGAACAACAUGGCUGCCCCCAAUUUUCAUAUGGGGGCAGCCAUGGUAUUUUUGUACAAUUCCUCCUGAGAACAAGGAAAUGCCAUCAAGUCGUGCUGCUCCCAGGGGAACUGCCUGUGUUCCAUUCAAAGCACACAGAAACAAGGAACCCCACGUGCUAGCCACUUCAGGCUGUGGGUAACUGAAUUGCCCAUUAAAAAAGCUUAAAUGUAAGAAAUAUAUCUUACAUGAACAGAUGCAGCCUUGCAGCCCUGAGACUACCUCAUAAAGUGAUAUUUGCUGUGGGUUCUGAAAGGAACCUAUAAUCUGAUCCCAAUCAUGAUCAGAUCACAUAAGGUCACUUUGGAAUCUGAUCUUAGUGGAUUCCUCCCCCAAAUCCUGAGCAGGAGCCUCAUGGAUGUAAUGCUAACCCAUAAUUUAAUGUUGCAUGCAAGCCAAGUCAAUAAUGUAUGUCAACAACAUGGUGAGCAAACUUCCCAGAGUGCAGCUAUUUGUGUUUUAUAGGUAUGUGCCAAUUGUGGUGUAUCAAUGUGCUAAGAAAGAAAAAAAGAACACAACUCUCUUCCCUAGUUAGAGAAGUUUCUGUUUUCUUGUUUGCUGCAUGCAACUGGUGGGAGUGAUGCUUUCCACUAGUAGUAUGUGGCAUGCACUGGUGUGGUGUACUUUGUUUACUUCUGCUCUCAACCUACAGCAUAUAUGCACAUAUACAUAUGGACACAUCAAUCUGUUUGACUCUCUCUUCAUUUAAAUCAAUAGGGCCCCAAUUGGAUUUUAGCAAGGAUGAAUCCUACCAGUGGUGAACCUAUGUUUUUAGGGCCCUGAAGUUUGAAAUGUCAUGGGGGCUCCUUUGUAACCAGCAACGAGGUCUGGCUAACCCCUUGUUACCUUCUUCAGUGGGGUUGUUCCAUGACAGAUCACCACAAUUUUAAAAAAAUUAACUACUUCAUUUCAGAUUUUGAUUAAAAUGGCUGUCCUGGAUUAUCUCACCUGUCAAAGUCAGUAGGGGAAACAAAAAUGCCUUAUGCCUUAUAGAUUUUUAGCCCCACAUUGGGCAAAAGAGUCCUGCACUGAAGCGAGUUGGACUACAUGAUCCAUAGGGUCCCUUCCAACUCUAAAAUUCUAUGGUUUGUUUUUCUGGAUUUUCUAGCAACAUAUUCACAGUCAGUUUCAUCACAGGAGAGCUUCCUUGCAAUGUCAUUUUCUGGAGACAAUAUGCGGAAAGAAUUUAAGCGGUGUUCAGCAGAACAGCCAACUUACCACGCCGCUUCACCUUUGCAGCACCUGCACAGUUUCAAGACUCUUGAAAUAUAUACCACCAAAAAUUAUUCAAUUUGAGUCAUGCUACUCAAAUUGGGUCUAUGGGUCCAUUUUUUUUAAGCAAUGAGGAAUAAAGUUGCUUCUGGGGCCCCUCUGGGAUUAGGGGACCUGAAGCUUAAGCUUCAUUAGUUUCAUAGUAGAUUCGCCCCAGUCCUACCCAAUCUAAUCAGUGAGAUGAUUUGUGGUGCUCAGCUUUGAUAUUAAGGGGGGGGGGACCAAGCCACCUUGCAAAAUGUAGAGAGGAUUUCCUGAAGUAUAUCAAGGAUAUAUCAUUAGAGGAUGAAGAAAUUAGUAAUAUCCUUCAACACUUCAUCUAGUCCAUAUAUAUAUAUAUAUAUAUAUAGUUAUUAUUUACAGUUUGAGAGUAGAGUUGAAUAAACAAGAAAUAAUUUAAUGAGGGCAUUUUUGUACUUCUUGGGGGGGGGGGGAAACAUAAACAAUUAUUUUUUUAAAUGGGGUCAGAGAUGAUGGCCUUCAAAAUCUUCAAUACAUCAACACUUCAGCAUUUCUAUACAGGCUAAGAUACACGUCAGCCAAACCAGUUAGCUAACAGCAAGAAGUCUAUGAUCAGAAUUUUUUUUUUUCCUUCUGUGGGCUAGAGGAACAUCUCUUUGCUUAAUCCUAAAGAGGUAGCAAGCAGUAUGCAAUCAAUUUCUGAAGAUGUUCCUGGAAAAUGUGAACAAACAGUGCCACUAACAUCACUUGCCUCCGGCAGCAGGAAACCUAUCUCUCUGCUCUGCUUGAUGUCAGGUUAGGCAUACUGUGUGGCAUCAUUACCAGACAUCAAGAACAAGUGUGAGUUUAAAAGUAUAUUCUUUUCUUGGUGAGAAAAGAACAUAUAAUCACUUACCCUUCAAACCUAUAAAAUUGGAGUGGGACGAGACCUAGCUGUUAGGGAAUGUUCAACAUUUGUCUUUUCUUAAGGUUUUCCUGGUAGCAAAUAUGUAUUCUCUCUAUCUCUCUCUCUUUCAUUUUCCCUCUUCCCAACAGAUAAAAGGGUAAUAAGCAAAAGGCUGAGCAUAUCCUCCCUAAAGUGAUUGCUGGUGGUUUUCGUUUUUUAAAAACAGUAAUUGGUGGAAGGAGAGAAAGACUAGAAUUGUUGGUAUUUCCUUUGGACAGAUGGUGAACUGGAUCAGAACAACCCACAAGACCUUUAACAAUAUUGUUAACUGAAAUACAAAAUAGAUCUCCCCAUCCCCAAAUUCUUCUGUGACUAUAUUGUGGUAUAUGCCACAAUAACAUACCUCAGUCUUUAAGGUGCUACAAGAAUCUUCGUUGCUUCUUUGGGAGUAAGAGUUUCCAGUAUUUUGAGUUACUCAGAACUGUGUGUUUCCCUACACUUUCCUGCAUAGGCUGGGUGGCUUUCUAAAUGACAGCCUAUGUAAUUAAGAUGUGCAGCUAUUCAGAGUAUUGCCACCCCCAUUUUUAUUAAACUUUUAAACUUGUAUGUAGUAGGUUACAGAAUAAGUAGUAGGUUGCAGCCCAUGAUAAGAGGACAAAACAGCAAAGACCUUUUUCCAGAAAUGAGCACAGAUGGAUGGCAAUGCCCAGUAAACUGCAACUAGGCCAGCACUGAGGUGAUAGUGUGGAGUUGAUGAGAGUGUUAUCCAGUGCCAGUACAGAUAAACCUUCAAGGUUGCUUCUUGGUUUCUAGCUGAAAUAGAUUUUAACAGAGGACUUACUUACCCAUAGUCUGCCCCACACCUGGUCCUCUAUUUGGAUGCCAAUGUCUGGUUCACAGUAAUUUUUGAGUGCUGUGGAUGACCCCAUAUUGAUUUCUAUGAGAAGUUUAUAAUUCUGGGAUACUAAGCCGUUAUAGUCUGGUGUUGAUUGUGUGUACAGAUACACAAAAAAAUGUCUGGGUGCAUCAAGGCUGUCCUUGUUUGUAAAGUUUAUUGGGAAGUGUCCAGAUCUGCAGGCCUUGUAGCUGGGUAUGAGGUAAAUUUCCUAAUUUAACAGAUAGCAUUUCCUUGGCUAUGGGUCUGCGCUUUGGGAGGAGGUCAUAAAGUCUAUAUAAGCUUAAUGAUUCCCCUUUUUUAUAUUGUAGGUAUUUGUCUUCUUGUCUGAAUCCUGGAUGAUUGAGGAAGCAGGCAGCCACGGGUGGAGGUGUUGCCAGGAGAGAUGACCAUCAUUUCCAGAUGUAGGUGUUUGUAUCAGCAUUUGCAUUAGAGUUGGGAAUUUUGUUUUGUUUAAACGUAUUUUAAAAUUUCCAUAAAAUUACAACUACAAAGAUUACAAAUCAAACAAGUAGAGUAUGGAGCCCUCACCUAAAAGUACCGUAAUACUUAGCCCUUACCAGCCACAGAGGACAGUAGCUCCUCCCAGCUCUCACCUGGGAUAUUUCCUUUCUCCUCCCAGCCUCUCACCCUGGGAGACCAACAUUAUCUUGUCUCUCAUGCAGGAUCCUCCAUCAACCAUCCACUACCUCCAUGAAUAUACAAUCUCUGGAGGGAGAAAGAGAAUUUUUUAAAAAGACUAAAGAAAGAAAUAUAUUAAAGAUACAAACAAAAAACUUCUGAUUUUCCAUUUGCCAAUUACAAAAGAAGAACAUAUAAUUAUUUAAAGCAUUCAGUCCAUGCUAACAUCAUCUCCUGUUAAUCAAUAUUAGAGGGGGUUAAAAAAAAAUUAAAGUCUUCUCUCUCUUUUUGCUGUAAUACAGAAAAAAAUGAAAAAAUGAAAAAACCAAAAACAAACAAACCUGUGUUGCUUCACCAUGAGCGAUGUCAGCAAAGAACAGUAUGAUUGCUGCUGUUCCUACAGCCAAUGAGGAAGCAAGAGGGCUAGAUUAAUAAGAACUCUUAUAUGAGGCAACUGGCUAGAGCCUUCGUGGUUGCAGGGAUCUACUCACAAUAGCUUUCAGUUAGAAAAAUGAAUUUCUGACUUGUAAUGCUCAGAAUGUGUGUGACUUGUGUUGUGCUGAUGUCUUAAAACUUCAGAGCAAUUAAGCCACUUGCCCUGUUAAGAGUGUCAUCCAAACUGGCUGGGUAGUUGAGAGGAAGGAAAAUGUGGCUUGUCUCAAGGCCAGUACCUCUAGCAAAGUUCUCCUGAAGAGCUCACACUUAAGUCUCCUUCCCACUUCAAUAAAAAGGACCGUGUGUCAGCCUUCCACUAUCGCCCGCCACCUCUUUGCUUACCCUUGCACAUAUUGAAAGCCAAACCUUGAAAAUGCAGGGCCAACUGCCUUGCUUAGCAAGAGCUAAUUAGUGUGUGCAAAACCGGAGAAGCUAGUGAAUUUGUCUGCAGUUUUGCAAAGACAGCCCCCUUCUGUCAUAAAAGGAAUAGCCAAGUGAUGCCAGCUCCGAAGAGGAGCCUACGUUGCAUUAAAAACCAACUGCCAUGUGCAACUAAUUGCUCCACACACAGCAUAGUCCAAAAAUAAUUGACUCUGCCUGUUUUGCUAUUUUGGGGAACCAAAGAAGAAUUAGCAUGCCAAAACAAAGUGCCACUUAUAAGGGAAGGGAGGAGAACCACUGUGGCCAUCUGCUUUCUAUGUCAGUGGCAAUAUAAAUACUGGUAAAGAAAAAUAAAAUAAAAACCUCUCUCUUUCCUUCACUACUUGCAACAUUGAGAAAGGUCCUUUGGUGAGUUAAUGCACUUGUGGCAUUCUGAGGACAAUCCUCUCUCAUACCGCCCCUCUGUUGGAAAACACCACUAUGGCUCAAAGUACAGUGUACUUGUAUGCUGUUUUGGGGCUAGCUGCCCCAGCAUAUUUCUGAAGGUUAUCGCCAGGAACUGGCGACAAAGCACGUUAGACAAACUUUGCUGGCCUGCAUUGGCUUCCAGUAAUUUUCCAGGCUGAGUUUAAGAUUCCACUUAUCACCUUUAGAGCCUAGAGCCCAGCAUAUAUCUGCAAGAAUACCUCCUCUCAUAUUUUAGUCUCCCUGAUGUUUAGGAUCUUUUGUGCACAUUUGCCUCUGGGCACCUUCUUUUUGAGACGGUGCCCAAAGCUAGGAAUCUCCCUCACCACUCUUCUCAUUUUCCCUUUGUUUUAAUCAGUUUCAUCAGAACUUCUACAACAUCCAUGUCAGAGAGAGGGAGAAAUGCCAGAAGGAAGCCCUUAAAUGCCAUUCAAGUGAGAGGUGAAUAUGGUGCACUGUACAGUAUUACAAGGUUUUAGGAUGUUACAAGGAGUUUACAGGAGUUGGGAUGUACCUGCAUCAGGGCUCAUUUUAUUCUGCUUAUGCAAAGGGCAAAAUGUUCUGAUGAUCAAGAUAAGCCCUUAUUUCUAUGGUCUCAUGUUUCCCUGGGUUGUUCCUAGGUCAACUGCAGGCAGUAUGUGCAGGAUCAUAUUACUUCCAGCAGUUCUUAAAACAGAACAGGCUGCUGUGCUUAGAGUUCAACUACAACAUAUCCCCCUCUCUCCCUAUGCUUCCUUGUCAUCCUGCAACAUCCUGUUGUACACUGUUUUGUGGGGGAUGUAUGUGUAUAACUUUACCUUUUGCAUAGCAGGAAUGUAGACUACUGUACAAAGUAAGAGUUGCAUCCACUGUCCUGCCUACCUUUGCCUCUGGCCCCACCAACCACUCUCAUAUGGUCCCUGGAAGGUUCUCCAGGAGGCAAUGUGGCCAUUGAACUGAAAAAGAUCACUCACCCCUGCAUUAAGUGUUCAGAUACAUAGGUAAAAUGUUAUUCUACUUUUGAUACAUUUGGAGCCUAAACAGCAUCGCCAAAGGAUCUCACCCCUCAAUACUUCCCAGCACUAGAAGAGACCGACCCACAGGAGAAUCUCCACAGGCUGCCAAAAUACUCACUGGUAGACAAAAAACACCCUGAUAUGAUUUACAGUAUAUAAUAAAAAUCAAGAGUUGAGCAACAUGAGAACCGGGAACAAAACUAGCAUAAUUUACAAGACGUAAUAAAGGAAAAGUUGAGCAAUAAGAACAACAGAAAUAUGACUAGUAGCCCUGUUGUAUUUUAAAAAUACUCUCUCAUGAUCUGCAUGUGCAAAAUAUCCAUGGAUGUUAUUUUGAUUGUUCUGGAAAAGCUAUUUUAAAAAAGCAGCAAAAGAACAUGAAAAAGUAAAAAGUCUGCACUAUGUUCCAGUAGCAUCUGCCUCACUGACUGCUCAGUGUCAGGCUAGGCAACAUUCUGGUCUCGUCUUCAUUUCAUGAGAACCCUCCCCUCAUGUCUAGCAGAUGCUUAGCUAUUGUACCAUGUGGGCAGAGUCUGAGUGAAGAAGACAGCCAUGUCACAAAGAAAUGUUUGUCAGAAUAAUCACAGAAUGCAGCACACCAUUACACCCAUCCCCUCCUCCUCUUUAUUCUGUUAUGCUAAGGCUUGUAACAACUGUGGGGUUCCUGCAAUACCAGGAACCCAAUUUCAAUUAACAGUUUGCGAACUAGCAAAUUGUGACGUGGCCAGAGUCAAGUCCAUACAGUAAUAUCAGACAGAAGUGCUCAGAUAGGAGAAUAAAACUAUGUAUGUUAGACCGAAGACAGGCAUUAAAAGUGGGCAACCUUUGAGGCAUUUUAUUCAUGGAACAUCGUCAACUUUGCUGCAGUUAACUUCAAAAUCUCAAGGGGAAUGUUCUCAACUGCUCAAGUAUAAAUCAAAUAUUCAUAGUUCGGGACAGGUGGUUGGUUUCGAUGUAGUUAAAGAUCUAUAUAUUUUGGGAAAUAGUUUGCCUGCCUGUCCACCUGUUCUCUAUGAGUUUGAGCAUCUAUCGAGCUACUGCUGAUAAGUGUGACACAAGGUUUCCCGAGAUGGGGGAAGGAGCUUUGGUCAAUUUUUGCUGCAUGCCAUUUUAAAUCAAGAUGGUGAAUGGAAACAUGAUUUUGGCAUGACUUUGCCCUUUUUUGGCAUAGGUUCAGCUGCCUCUCAAGAUAUUGCCAUUAAACAGCAGUCUUCACUGACACUUUUAAUUAUUUUUUUCCAUAGAAUUCAAGGUUGCCUCCUAUAUGGUUCUCUCCCACCCUAAUUUUGUCAUCACAACAACACUUUGAGAUAGGCCAGACUGAGAGAGCAUGACUGGACCAAAGUUUGCUAGUGAAUCUUGUGUCUUCUCAUUCUUCACCACAGUGGCCCUCAGCACUAUAAGAAAAUUAAAUUAAUUUACCAUUUUCGGUUUAUAAUCAGUAUGUUUGCCAGGAACUUAGAACCAGUGUCAUUUUCAUUGCAAAGCAUUAGCCUUUUAUCUGAAUCAUAACCCAGGAGACAGUACCAUGCUGGGCUGUCAAACAAGUUAAUAUUCAAGACAGUACACUUUUUCAACUGAAAGAGCAGCAAGGAUUUAUCCACACUUCCUCUUGUGCCACUGCCUCCCACCCGCCCCAGGAAAACUGCUCUUUAGUGCUCAAUCAGACCAAAUGACAACUCAAGUUUUCCCUGGAUUGCCAUUUGUUCUGAUCUAUCACUAAAGAGUGGGUUUUCCCUUGCAGAGUAGGGCAGCAAGGGGAGAACUGCUUGGACCCAUGUAUGGCGCCAGCGGAUGUGUAUAUGAGCCCUAAAUCUGAUCCACCCUUGCCUGCUAUGUUGAGUAUUCAGGGUGCUGUGGUCUUUUCAGAUAAAAAAAGUUCGUUUCAAUUUUCUGUAUUGUUUUUCUGCAUAAUGACUAGUAUUGAACAGGAUUAUAUGAACAUACAGUGGUACCACAGGUUACAUACGCUUCAGGUUACAUACGCUUCAGGUUACAGACUCCGCUAACGCAGAAAUAUUACCUUGGGUUAAGAACUUUGCUUCAGGAUGAGAACAGAAAUCGUGCAGCGGCGCAGCGGCAGCAGCAGGAGGCCCCAUUAGCUAAACUGGUGCUUCAAAUUAAGAACAGUUUCAGGUUAAGAACGGACCUCCGGAACGAAUUAAGUUCUUAACCCGAGGUACCACUGUACUAGAACAGGCUCCGGCACUUCAGAGCAUGCCAGAUAGAGAAGCUAUGGUUGCAAAGUAGCACCAUCUAAUGGCUUUAUACUGUCAUUGCAAGACUGGAAAGCAAAUAAAAAACAGUACAGUGGUACCUCUGGUUACGUACUUAACUCAUUCCGAAGGUCCGUUCUUAACCUGAAACUGUUUUUAACCUGAAGCACCACUUUAGCUAAUGGGGCCUCCUGUUGUUCUCAUCCUGAAGCAAAGUUCUUAACCCGAGGUACUAUUUCUGGGUUAGUGGAGUCUGUAACCUAAAGCGUCUGUAACCCGAGGUACCACUGUAAGCUGAUCCAAGACUGGAAUUCCACGAACAAUUAAAUAGUUGGAAGGCAUGUCAGCAGAACUCAUUAAAAACUUUUAAGAGUUUUAUUCUGCCUUAAUGAAACAGAAAAGAAAGAAAAAACUACUGCAACCAACCAGCCACACACAUCCUUCUCACUUCUCUCUAGUGAUAUCUGAACUUAAAGACAUUCAAGAUUUAUAAGUUCACAGGUGUGGUUCAUUUCCUCAGAGAAGCAUUGUGCAGUGCUCCACUCCAAUAAGUAAUUACUGCGGCUUAAGUGCACCGGGCACAAUCACUACACCUGUGGUUGUGCUAAACCAGGGACAAUCGUAAUCAUUAUGGCUAUUAUUCUUAUUCUACAACUGCAAAUGAGGUGAUCUAGGGUCUGAUGUAAUUAGCUUCUCAAACACUACAAGAGUCCCUUUUCUGAUAGUCACACUCUCCACUUAUACUGGCACACAAAAGUAACCAUACAGACCUCCACAAAUGAAUUCAUGGCAUUUGUGUGCUGCUCCAUAACAAAAAAAAUUCUGGGCAGCUUAUGUAGGAAAACAAAUUAAAUAUGAAAACAAGACAUGAACCCAAGCCAAAAUUAAAAGCAACAAAAACAAAACUCACCAUACUCCAAAAGUUAAAAUAAGGAGAUAUUAUGAUGGAGAUAUAUAUGAUGUCCAUAAAUAAUGGUUGAACAGAAAGAUCUUCACCUGGUGCCAAAGGGACCGAAAGGAGGGUACCAGAUGAACCUUGCUGGGACAGCUGUUUGGUAGCCAAGAUGCCACUAUUAAAAGUCCCUCUUCUCACUGGUGGUGACCCACCUUACUUCCUUUGGUGGGGGAACUCAGAGGAGAACCUCCAAAACAAUACAGUGGUACCUCGGGUUGCAUACGCUUCAGGUUACAGACUCCGCUAACCCAGAAAUAGUACCUCGGGUUAAGAACUUUGCUUCAGGAUGAGAACAGAAAUUGCGCUGUGGCGGCGCAGCAGCAGUGGGAGGCCCCAUUAGCUAAAGUGGUGCUUCAGGUUAAGAACAGUUUCAGGUUAAGAACAGACCUCUGGAACGAAUUAAGUACUUAACCCGAGGUACCACUGUAUUAAGAUCAGAAUUGUUACAUAUUGGAGGAGGUGAUAUUUCAGGUAACCUGGUCCCAAGCCAUUGAGGGUGUUGAAAUCUUGAAACCAAAUAGUUCAAUGUCACAGGAAAACAUGUGAGCCAUGAAAUCCCUGCUCAAACAAAAUGUCACAUCAGCCAUAAAUUCACUAAACAAGCCAUAACAAGUUACACCUACUUCAGACUCAGUUCACUACCCGAUCUGCCAAUAUGGGAUUAAUAAUACAGACCUAACACACAGGGUGGUUGAAAGAGCUCUCAAAACUUUUGAAAUGUGCCAUACAAUAGUAAAUAUUGUUACUCCAGUCCAAUAGCUGUCCCCAGUUCCUACAAGUGAAUGUGAACAGGGGUAGGGCAGGGGCAGAAAAUCCAUGGCAAAAUUCAAAACAAAAACAUUUUUAGCAGUGUCCAUUAUAUGUCAUAGGGGCAAGAAACAGAAGCUAUUGCCCAAGGCAUUUGCAGCAACUUCUUUCCAGCUCUGAAGGAAAAAUAAGCUUAUCAGGAGCAGGCAAGCAUCAUAACCUCACUCGCUGUGUACCAGCAAAUGACCAGGGACAUGAUCUUUCAAUAAUAGAAUGGGUAGAAAUUGAGGGAAUGUAUACUGACAGUUAAACUGGAAGAACAACCUUACAGAGUAAGGGGCAGCUGUGUAGUGAUAAUCUAGGAUGGUGCCUGAAAGCUCCUUUUUCUUAUAAUGCUCCCAGUAAGCAAAGACUUCCGAGUAAUAAAGGGGUAAUGCUCCUGCUUAAAGUUUAUAAUGCAUUGGGGUGGGGGAAAUCAGGUAGGCAUCAGAUAGGAGUGGUUGGGGAAUCUGUGACCCUCCAGAUAUGGCUGGACACCAGUUCCCAUCAUCCCUGCCUAUUGACCAUACUAGUUGGGGGCCAUGGAAGUUGGAAACCACCAUUUGAAGGGCCACUUAUUUCCCAUCCUUUAUUCAAGGGUUGCAGCUGCAGAUUUCAGUCUAGUGUGCUCACUGCCUGUCUCAGCAGAAGCAAGCCUAACUUGGCAACAGUUAAUUUCAAAAGUAUUCCUAGGUCAAUCAAAAGGCAAAUUUGUAAAAGCUUUUUUUUAAAAAAGGCUACUGUAAUUUCUAGCACUUCCUACUCGCAUGGAAGAGCAAUACGGGCAUGGAAAUCAUAUAUAGUCUGUCUACCUAUUGUUGUUUAGAAAACAAAAACAUCAAAGUGUUUUGUGGCACCCUAAGACUGACAAAUUUAUUGCAACAGAAGCUUUCAUGGGCAAGAAUUGGCUUUUAGGUUAGGGUUACCAGACGUCCCCAGUUCCUGGGGACAGUCCCCGGAUUUGCAAAUUUGUCCCCGGACAAAUUCUGUCCCCGGAAUAUUCCCAGAUUUGCAAAUCUGUCCCUGGGAAACGUGGCAACGGCAGCCUUAGCAGCCCGGAGCCAGCCUGUUAGCGCAGUUGGCUCUGGCUGGCUUCAGGAGCUGCUUGCUGCCCGCCAUUUUUCCUGUGACACGGCAGCGAGCAGCUCCUGUAGCCAGCCAGAGCAAACUGCACUACCAGGCUGGCCCCUCCUGGGCAAUGGCUGCCUGCCUGUGACUCCCGAGCCUCUCCUGAUCUGUCAAAACAAAGGGGGAAGGGGGAAGGAGAUCAGGGGAGGCUUGGGAGUCAUGGGUGGGCGGCGCGCUGUUGCCCAGUUUUUAAAAAACUGCAUUUAUGUUUCACAGGGUGUGAAAGAAGGGCUUUGCACCUUUAUACAAUAUGCAUGUGUGCUUGGCCCAGGGUUUUUUGCCUCACCAUCCCCACUACUAACUCCCUGUUGCUACUCAGCUCCCCCCCCCCCCCAAAAAAGUGUCCCCGGAUUCAUUGAAAAAAAUCUGGUAACCAUAUGUUAGGUACUUGUGACAAACUGCAGCUUUAAUGUAUAUAAAACAGUAAGCAUCACCAUUCACAAAACAGUGAUGACUUUAAAACAAACAUUCUGGCAUUGGCAGGGGUGGACUUUGGUCUUUCAAAUUUCAGCAGCUCUCUGUGCAAAGCCAAAACCCACCCCACCCCACCCCCUUCCAUUCUGCUCAUUUCACUAUAUCAGAGUUGCAACACCUUGCAGCCCCUCUAGGCUCAGUGCCCAGUGCGGUAGAACUGGUCAUGCUGCCCUAAAACCGCCUCUGGCACUGGUAAGGAAAAGAUAAAAACCUUUUAUCUUGAUUCAGGCCACAGGUGAUUUUAUUUCACAUGUAGUUGCUUUCUCACAGUCAGACAGAGAUAGUAGCCCUCCCUCCUAAUCAAGUUUAUGAUACAAUUUCCUUUGAAAAAUCUAUGGACUUAAUGGAAGCAAGGGUUAACUUGACCCUUCCAUAGUUCUGUGCUCACACGUGGCCUUGGGUAAAUCACACUCUUUUAACCCCACAUUUCCUAAUGUGUGUAACAUGUAAACAGUGCAACCCAGGACUAGGUAGGUGGAUUGUGUACUUAACCAAAAAAAAAGAAAAAAAACACCACCACCACCCACACUGAUUUAUCGCUUGAGGCUACAAUUCGCAGAAGGCAGCAAAUGAAACGGUUCUGGUUUUAGUGACAUAAAACUUUUAACACCAAGCCUGUAAUUUUGUUCCAAGAGGAUUCUUGCUACUAGCCUUGCUAAAAUUGGAUUAUCUUAUCACAUGUUAGUCUACUGCUUUCUUUACUAACAAAUUAAAAAGUCUGGUCAUCAGUUAGCCACACACACACCUUGCAGAGAUAAGUAUUGAUUUUCUGCUCCACAGAAACAAAGCCUUAGAUGUUCUGUUAAAUGAUUGACUGCAGCUGAGAGCCCUUCUUAAAAGCAGAGAUCUUAAAAUACAUUUGUCAUGCCCACAUCCUAACAGCUUCUGUACACAUGGUUCUCACUGUUCUAGAUGGUGCUCUGGCACACCUUCUCACAAGUUAGUUUGUGAAUGUAAACUGAAGCACAGGAAGUAUAAAUGAUGGUUACCUCUUCCCUUACAUAAGUCAGACCAGUACAAUUUAUUAUCUAUCUCUGUGUGUACACUGCCAAACACAUACAAUGGUACCUUGGGUUACAGACGCUUUAGGUUACAGGCGCUUUAGGUUACAGACUCCGCUAACCCAGAAAUAUUACCUUGGGUUAAGAACUUUGCUUCAGGAUGAGAACAGAAAUCGCACAGUGGUGGCGCAGCAACAGCAGGAGGUCCCAUUAGCUAAAGUGGUGCUUCAGGUUAAGAACAGUUUCAGGUUAAGAACAGACCUCUGGAACAAAUUAAGAUCUUAACCAGAGGUACCACUGUAUAUCUAUAGUCAAGGCAUAUGCUGUCCCCUAGUUGGGUAAAAGUGUUCAAUAAAAAAGAGGCAAGUGUGUCUGUGCAGAGGAGAAAUUACUGUUUUGCUCAUUCCUUUGAAGCCUUCAGUGACUAACGUUAACAUUAUAUUGUCAAAAAUUCAGCAGGCCUCUGAAGGAUGCAUUGUGUUUGUGAGCAAACACAUUUGCAUCUCAAGAAAUCUGAGGUUUAUGCAAUGAGUAGAUUUAAAGGGAAGAAAGCACAUGUUGUUUAUGCCAGAUGAACAUCCAUGCUUACUGUUUUCCUCCUACAUUCAACAUUCAAUUCACCUGGGAGGGAAGGGAAGGAAUUUACUGCAUGCAUAGAAUAAAAUGGGAACAAAGCCCCAUAGAGACGUGCAGAACAGAAAGUUGCCUUAUACUGUAGUGAGAACAUUGCUCCAUCUAGCUUAAUGUUGUCUGCACUGACUGGCAGCAUCUAUCCAGGGUUUCAAACAGGAAUCUCUCUGAGUCCCACCUGGCGAUGCCAGGGAUUGAACCUGGGACCUUCUGCAUGGAAGGCAGGUGCUCUAUUACUCAGCUACAGCCCAUUCCAGGUGGAUGCUGUCCUAGGUAUGCAGGAUGAUACCCUACCCUUUCAAGAUGAAAACCUUUAUCACCAUUUGGCCAUAUAUAAGUGUUUAUCUGUGCUUCUCACUAACCUGCUCCCUUUGUCAGUCAAAGAAUAAUGUGUGUGCAACACCAUUUUGGAAGCAUUAUCACAGAAUCAUAGAACUGUAGAGUUGGGACCCCAAGGCCCACCUAGUCCAACGUCCCGCAAUGCAGGAAUCUCAGCUAAAGCAUCCCUGGCAGAUGGUCAUCCUGUCAGCUUAAAAACCUCCAAAGAAGGAGAGUCCACCAUCUUUUGAUGGAGUCCAUUCCAUUGUUGAACAGCUCUUACCGUCAGAAAGUUCUUCCUGAUGUUUAGUCAGAAUUUCCUUUCUUGUAACUUGAAUCCAAUGCUUCAGGUCCUAGCUCCAGAGCAGGUUAGGUAUAAUUAAAUUUGUGCCCCAAUUCUUAACCUCCCUUCUCAAUGCAUUCCUUGAGUUGACUAGCUGUUGAUGGCUUACUUUAUAAUUAACAUUUUCAAAUUUCUGUACAUAAGUCAAUGAUCCUGAAACAUCUAUGGCUGGCCUUUCUAACAUUUUCAACAUCAAUAAUCCUGUAAAAAACACCCACCCAGUUAUAUAGAGAUUUAAUUUUCUUAAAUGUUACCAAAGGAAGAAGUGGCUGAGCUAUACAUACAGAAGCAAGUAUCCGUCUCAAGAUUCAAUGAAUCUGUUAGCUGAGAUGGAGUACAUUAUAUUAAGUAAAUGACAAUUGACAAUAGGAUCUAUCAAAACAAUGGGUCUUAAGUUUUCCCUGGCAACUUCCAGUAUUCAAAGCUUAUUUGUUGGCAUCUUUGAUACUUCUAAAGCAAGCAAGCAAACAAACAAAUUGAAACCUUUCAUUUUACUCUAGGACCAGCUAAUUCAAUGACAUAGUCAUAUCAUAAAAAUAAAAUCUUAUUAUUAAUAGUUACUAGAACCAAAAGGCUCAGAAACAUUUUUUGCAUAGAGUGUUUGUGGUUUUUGUUUUUUUAAUGUCCACAAGAAGUGCCGUGAAGGGUUAGGUGUCCAUUUCAAUGAAACCAUUUGGCAUUUACAAACAGAAAAAUACAUUUUAGCCAAUCUAUAAUGAACUACCAGAAUGGGAAUGCAUUUUGAACUUUCUGCCUCAGGCCACUGACCACCUCUUUCUCACACAAAUAAUAACUAGCGUUUAGUGUUUUUUAAGCAGCACAUGUCUUUAAAGGCACCCAGGCAGAAGCACUCUGGAGCAGAUCCCUGCUAGGUAAGCAGAAUGAAAUGUGUGAUGAUUAGAUGACACCUCUAAGAAGUGCCCUGAUUAAUCAGGCCAAAGGUCCAGUUAUCUAUCUGCUCUGUGGGCAAUCUGAUGCUUAAAGGAAGCACGCAAGCGAGAGCUGACAGCAGUGGUCUCUGCCUCCUUGCGAUUACUAGCCACUUCACCUGGAAAACAGAGAAACUCUUUCGUACUUAAAGCUACUAAUAUGCUACAUUUUAAGGUGUUUGAGGACUCUUCAUUGCUUUUAUUCCUUUGGCUUAGAAAGUUUAGGAACCUCUUCAACACUUUAUGCUAUGUUUUCACCAACACCAUGUAUCUGAUGAAGUACACUGUUGUCUUCAAAAAUAUCAUGAUGCAGCAAUCCCAUUUGUUUUGUAAGGUGCACAAGCACUGUUAGAAUUAAAAAGACUGCUCUUCUCCACCCACCCACAAUACUUUAUUGUUUUCACUUGUUUAUACAAAGAACAACAAUCAACAGUAAACAAUCCAACACACCCCAGCAGAAGCACCUAGUGUCUAUUUACAUAUAACAUUAGACUGCUCUUCUAACCAACUGUACGUUCUCUCCUGUUGCUCUGCCACUCCCUCUACACCUGGGCAGUUUCUGCUUAGUGAGAAGAGAGCUUAACCAUGACUCCCAGUUCAGAUGAUAUGCUAAGCCAAACUCUGGUUUAGCUUGGAGCUUAUCCAAACUCACAUUUCCUCCAUGCUUUUCAGGUAUUGUCCACACUUUAUAGCUCUGUGUCCAAGCCCUCUUUUUAAAUUUUUGCUCCAGAGCUCUCCCCACAAUAACCCACUUUAAAUCUGAAUCAGACCAAACAGCAAUAUGAAGAAAACCUGAAUUGCUGUUGGCUGCACUUUGGCUUUAUAGAGUGGAUUUCUGAUGCAAAAAAUAAAAAAUAAAAAAGUGCUCGGAGACAGAGCUUUAAUUUACUUAUUUAUUUAUAAUUUGUAAUUUAUUUAUUGCUACACCGCCCUUUUCCCAAUGAUCAUAGGGUGGUUUACAAUACUGUGCAGUCUGGUGUCUCAAAAGAGAAGAGCAAAAGAUAAGAAGCAUGGAUAAGCCCUCAGUGUGGCAGUUAAAACCAGAUGCAAACUCUUCUCCGAGAGCCCUCCCAUUUGUAUUGUGUUGGUUAACCAUUGUUUCACUUUCCAUGUUGUGCAAACUAUCCUAUUAUGUCAGAAACAUUAAACAUAUAACAUUAGCUUAGUUGACAGAGCAUGAGAAUCUUAAUCUCAGAACCAUGGGUUCAAGCACUGUCACAUUGGGCAAAAGAUUCUUGCAUUGCAGGGGGUUGGACUAGAUGACCCUUGUGGUCCCUUCCAACUCUACAGUUCUAUGAUCCUGUGAUUAGGGCUUGCCAGGGAUUGUCAUUUCAAAGCCCAGUUAUUGCUUUUGCCAAAAGACCCAUGAUUAAGGCCAGAAGUAGCAAUUCAUACUCUUGAAGGUAUGUGUGAGAGAGAUUCUGUGGUUGAACCAUGGUAAAGCAAUCACCAGUUGUAUCUGCAUUUAGCCCAAUACGUAACAUAAUACCAACCCUUCAUGUGAUUAUCAUGAUAAGAAUAAGAUUAUAAACGUUACACUGCAGAUCAGGCUGCUACUGGGAGAUUGGAUAAAUAGGUUCAAAUUUGUGUUAAAAAGAAAUUGGUAUCCUUUGUAUCAGCGCAUCAUGAAUUCUCAUAGAUUAAAAUGGCACCUCCUUUCCAAUUAGGCUUAAGUUAUCCUGAUAUUUUCAGAGAUGAACAUACAAUUAUACAGAUUUAAAAAUAAGUAUAUUUUCCACUCAAUUAGUAACCAUUUCAUUUUCUGUACUGUUUCAGAGUGUGAAACAGUGAGCCAACAUGAUGAUGGAAAGCAGCUGAACUGGGGAGCUUUUAAGAGAAUACACUCUAACAGCACACAUAACAUUUGAAUACAUAAGAAAAGUUUCCAGUCUAUAUGCCUUUCUGCCAGGGAGCCAACCAGCAAGAAUUCACACAAAGUGAAGUUAAUUCUUUAUUAAGUAAGGCCUGCUCAGGAGUACUAGGCCUAAUAAUGGGCACAGCAGCUCCUCUCGGUAUGUCUUGCCCCUAUGAGGGAGUUGUGGACACUUGAACUCUAAGGCAAAGAGACACUUAACUCUUAAGGUCACUUCUGCACCAUACAUUCAGAGCACAUUACUUCACCCGAAGAAUCCUGGGAACAUCUCACAGAGCUACAAUUCUCAGCACCCUGAACAAAAUAUAAUUGCCAGGAUUCUUUGGUGGAAACCAUGGGCUUUAAAUGUGUAUUAAAUGUGCUUUAAAUGUAUGGUGUGAAUGUGACCUAUAUCAAAUGUCAGAGAGGAAGGAUUUGGCAGUGGAAAGAAUAGCAGAAAUAGAGAAGUAUUUUUAAAAUAAAUCUCAUUGGAAUUGCAUUUUUAAAAUAGAGGGUUUAAUACUCUGAAAUCAUGAGGAUUUCCUAAAUCCUGAAAUCAUGAGGUCUCCCUAAAGAAUUUUAAUGGUCUUUCCAUGAACCAAGUCUGCUCAAUCAAUGUUUUGAUAUUUUCUGCAUGCUAAUUUAAAAACAGUGCUUGCUAGAUAACAGAGGUUUCUGCAAGAUCAUCCAAGUUCAACUUUGCUGUACCUAAGCUGCUAAGUAACUUGUCAGCAAUGGUAAACAAGGGUACCAAGAUGAGAAUUUGCACCCACAGCAGAAGAAUUACAUUCACUGAAUUUAAAUCAUGGCAACAAUGAAACACCCUGCAGUGAGAUCCUAAACAUGUUUACUUAGAAUUAAAACUAAAUUCAAUUAGACUUAAAGGUAAAGGUAAAGGUACCCCUGACCGUUAGGUCCAGUCACGGACAACUCUGGGGUUGCGGCACUCAUCUUGCUCUACAGGCCGAGGGAGCCGGCGUUUGCUCACAGACAGCUUCUGGGUCAUGCGGCCAGCAUGACUAAGCCGCUUCUGGCGAACCAGAGCAGCGCGCGGAAACUUACUGCCACGUAAAUGUGCUCAGGAUUGCAUUGUGUGUGCGUCUUGUCAUUUUUCUUAGAUCAGCAAAUUAAUUCACAUAACAAAAAUUACAACAGAGUGUGAACAGCAGAGAGGAAAAAUAUGUGAACAUUUCUCCAUCACUGAAGUAGCCAAGCAGUGCAUGAUCAAAGUUAGUAUAAAGAAAUACAAAAUGCAACAAGCAGUGCCAUAAAUUGACUGCAAUCCACCUCUAUAUUCUAUACUAUAAUACCCUUUGACACCCAGGAGUCUUCCAUAGAAAACUGCAGUUUUGAGGGUUCACAAAACAAAGAAUUAAAUCUAAUUUUGAAACAUCAGUACAUUAGUUUAAACUUUAAAAAUAUAGUACGUUGAAAUUUAUUUGCAAAGUAGACAGAUUUUAAAUAAUUAUAGGUUUCAUUCUUUUUAAUCAGCAGCAGUAAGAUUGUGAAGGCAUGCACAUUAUAUUAUUCAAGGAACAACUGAAUCAUCAUGCAAUCUUUAGGAGGCAGAUGCCGGAUAUUAAGAAAACCUUCCAUCCAUGGAGCAAGUUGGAAGAAUGUUAACAGUCAUCUCUCCUAUGCAGAAUGCUGACUUAGCAAGUCUGUAUGUGAAACAUUACAUUCUUUAUCAGAGUAUGAACCACACAUAAGGGUGUUUUUUUAAAAAAAAAAAAUAGUGCAAAAUAUGAGAAUAAAGAUCAAGACCAAGCAAAGAGUCAAAAACUUCUCCAGUGAGGUAAAACACCUUUGGACCAAUAUAUUUCUGGGAAUCUCAAGAAUGAACACUGAAGGUGGGGGGAAGACAUUAAGUGAUCAUAGAUGUCAGACACUUGGCAUCUGCCACCACAGGAUAGUUUUGUUUAUAUAAGGGCUUUCUAUCAUGGUUAGGAGGAAACUCGACAAAUUCCACACAUCAAUUUUUAUUACUAAUGUCUGCACUGCAAGCACAGGGAGGCAACCUAAGUGGUGUUUUGUUCUUAUAAACAUUCAGCUCAAUGCUAAAUAUGUUAACCCAGAAAUGGGGCUGUUUCCUGAGAUGUUUGCCUGGGAACAAAAAGUUUUAGUUUCUGCACAUCUUUUUAAAUUGAAUUUAGGUUCACAACCUAAACUUAAGCCUAAAAUCUUCCUGUAUGCCUAUAUAAAUCAAAUUAACAGCUAUUUGAUCAAGCAACUUUUUUUUUAAUCAUCUGACAGCCCAAGUUAUAAGCAAGUAGAAAAAGAACCAAAGUGGUUAAAUGUAAGAGGGAAAGCUUUUUUAAAAAUAAGGAUCUAAUGAAUGGAUACUUUUGCAUCUGUUGUCUGCAACUAAAAAGGCUCAGAUAAAAACUUGAAAAAAUUCCAUUCCUCCCCACUGCCAAGAAAAUCCCCAAACACCCUGCUACAUCGUCCACUACAAUUUGAUGGCAUUCCAUCCUGAAUCUCACAACAUAAUUGAGUAAGAACUGAUGUCUUCUUUUUAGGAUACAGUCAAGACUGAGUUCUUCAUAGCAUCAUAGCAUCCUCAUUCUUGGAUGUAGUGUACAUUGUUUUCUAUCUUCCUUGUGCGUGCAUGCACACACACACACACACACACACACACACACGUACAUGUGUGUAUGUGGCCAUAUUCUUCUACCAAGGAUUACUGCAGGAUCUUAAUGGCAGGCUCUACACUCCAUGGUGCCUCAGUAUUCUUCAGGCAUGAAUUUAUGCGCACUAGACUAAACUGAUGAUGUAUCUACUCAGCACUAGUGAGCAUCUCUGGGAAGAGAGAUGAGACCUGAAGAAUGACAUCUCUAGAACACACAUGAACAUAUUCCCCGCCCCCUACAAAAAAAAAAAAAAAUACUUCCAGAAAAUAUCAAAAAGCAAAACUGGGUGCAGUGAUUUACAAGAAAACCAAGAUGGUCCCCGGUAAACAGGGAUUGGAGGAGGGAAAAUACUGUUAGGCUUUAUUUAUCAGAAAUGACCUGUCAUGCCUAUUUAAUAACUACAACCAAUUGCAUAUUUUAGGGAGCAAAAAACAUUGCACUGUUGCCUAACAGUAUUGUGAUUUGCAUAUAUAGUUUAUUACAAGCUGCAACAACUCAGAGACACAGCAAGUAUGCCAAUGAAAAAAAAUGUUUCCGGCUUUGGUUUUUAUUCAGGACAAAUUAGAUAUUUCUGAAUUGCUUUUAAUGUCUGCAGACAGUGCUGCUCUCUCUUGGGCAUGUCUUAUUUAUUUGGAUAUGUUAAAGCCUGCCUCAUCCUGAGGCUUCCCACAAAAAGCAACAACUUGUAGUAUAACACAAGAAUGCUAAAAAUAUGUUUUAAUAGCACCGUAUUAGCUUACCCCAGCCAGAUUAAACAUUAAAAAACCAAGAUGAAAUUGUUUGAUCUUGUCACCUCUCUUUUUUAGGGUGUGAACAAUAUGCUGACGACACUCAGUGAUACCUCACUUUUUCAACUUACCUUGGUUAUACAAUGUCAGUGAUUACUCUGCAUUUGCCCAUAGAAAGAACCCAUAACACAGACAAAGUUUAAAUCUACUUCCUCUUCAUUUGAGUGAAGUCACAUGUGCCUCUUAAUCCACAAUCCUAGUCCAACACUCUAACCAUUACAACCAGCCUGGAAUGAAUAAAAAUGCCUUCAACUGGGACUGAAAGGUCACCAAUAAGAGGGAGGGAUCGAAUUCACAGAGGUGGUUCCAACUGGGGUGAUACCACUGAGGCCAUGCCCUGAGUCAUCAUGGCACAUACUUCACCAGAAGUGAAUCUACCAACAGGGCAACUCCCAUGCAGCAGAGGUAAGAGGACAGAAAAACAGAGGAAUUCUUGCAAGCCACCCUUUCCUUAGAUGCAGUCCACUAAGGACAGACUCUGUACCUUCCACUUCCAGAAGCACUUUUUGGCUUUCCUGCUUGGGUUGCCUUUUAAUAGCUGUGAGUAAGCAGGCAUGGAAUGUUUUUUAUUCCUAUAUAAAAUACAUUUUAAUUGUUUUUCUUUUUCUUUUUAGUGCACCCCCUCCACCCAAAAAAGUCCAUUACCUGCC